RNAcentral lists this transfer-messenger RNA (376 nucleotides) under Burkholderiales. RNAcentral describes it as "Comamonas_E serinivorans Standard tmRNA". It matches the Rfam family "transfer-messenger RNA". From Rfam's summary of the family: Bacterial tmRNA, also known as 10Sa RNA or SsrA, is named for its dual tRNA and mRNA-like properties. Its role is to liberate the mRNA from a stalled ribosome. To accomplish this part of the tmRNA is used as a reading frame that ends in a translation stop signal. Lineage: Bacteria; Pseudomonadati; Pseudomonadota; Betaproteobacteria. The record is from RNAcentral. RNAcentral also lists the same sequence under 1 other name.
GGGGCUGCAUUGGUUUCGACGUGGGUUGGAAUCGUGUCGGUGCAUGUCGAGGUUCAGUCACCUCGUGAAACCGCUGAAAAAAACUAACUGCAAACGACGAACGUUUCGCACUCGCCGCCUAAUAACCGGUGAGCCUCGCAACAGUUGGCCGAUGGGCUGGGCAAGGGCGCCGCAAGGCGUCCAGGCUGCGAGGGAAUUUACAUGGGCUGGCUUCAACCCGGGUGCCUUGGGUUGGGGUGAGACACAAGGGCACUGGCCGGCUGUUCAGCGUGCGUCUGCGCGGGGCAGUUGGUGAGACUCAAAUCAGAACGCUAAACAUGUAGAUCUGCUCGAGGAAUGCUUGCGGACGGGGGUUCAAAUCCCCCCAGCUCCACCA